AACGUAGGAGACGAACGCUAUCCGGAGUUACUGGGCGUAAAGGGCGUGCAGGCGGCUUGAUAAGUUCGGCGUGAAAUUUCCCGGCUUAACCGGGGGAUGUCGUCGGAGACUGUCGAGCUAGAGGGUGAUAGAGGCGUGUGGAAUUCCGGGUGUGGUGGUGAAAUGCGUAGAGAUCCGGAGGAACACCAGUGGCGAAGGCGACACGCUGGGUCAUACCUGACGCUAAAACGCGACAGCAUGGGGAGCGAACGGG
RNAcentral lists this ribosomal RNA (253 nucleotides) under uncultured bacterium. RNAcentral's name for it is "partial 16S ribosomal RNA". It matches the Rfam family "Bacterial small subunit ribosomal RNA", at positions 524 to 776 of the family's 1533-position model. The record is from RNAcentral.